CGUAACACGUGAGCAACCUUCCGAAAUAUGGGGGAUAGCCGGCCUAACGGCCGAGUAAUACCGCAUACGCUCUCGAUGAGGCAUUUCAUUGAGAGGAAACCUCCGGGGUAUUUCGAGGGGCUCGCGGCCUAUCAGCUAGUUGGCGAGGUAACGGCUCACCAAGGCAACGACGGGUAGCUGGUCUGAGAGGACGAUCAGCCACACUGGGACUGAGACACGGCCCAG
Molecule: ribosomal RNA, 225 nt
Filed under: uncultured bacterium
Lineage: Bacteria
Description: partial 16S ribosomal RNA
Rfam family: Bacterial small subunit ribosomal RNA
Source: RNAcentral